UCACCUUGAGGCCAAGGCCAGGGCAGCAGGUGCAGACAGCCUCCCUGGGAUUGCAUGCUGAAGCUGCAUUUUGCCAACAUUCUGCCGGGCUGAAGCUGCAGACAUGCUGGCGAUGCUCAGGCAAGCUUGUCACCUGCUCCCGGCUGCCAGGCAGAGCUGGCGGGUGUCUCCGCUCUUGCAUGGAUGCUCCUUCAGCUGUGACUCCCAGCCCUCUGCUAUCCAGGUGCCUGGAAUACAGAUGUGAUGGCUGGUGCAGAAGCUGCUAGCUUGGAUUAUGAAGAUGAGAUGGGGGAAUAGUGAUCUGGAUUGAAACCUGAGUCCUCAAGAACUAGUGAUACAAAGCUACUAUGUCGGCCAUGAGCGGUCCACCCCCACACUUCUACAAAAGGGAAAAAUAAACUUUCAUUGUGUUUGGAGUCUGUA
Felis catus (domestic cat) is the source of this 423-nucleotide long non-coding RNA. RefSeq lists it as uncharacterized. The transcript is spliced from 2 exons. The record is from RefSeq and is a predicted model, not a curated record. NCBI's taxonomy places the organism in Eukaryota, Metazoa, Chordata, Mammalia, Carnivora, Felidae.